RNAcentral lists this signal recognition particle RNA (99 nucleotides) under Rikenellaceae bacterium. RNAcentral's name for it is "signal recognition particle sRNA small type". It matches the Rfam family "Bacteroidales small SRP". Rfam says of the family: The non-coding component of the signal recognition particle in Bacteroides The record is from RNAcentral. Lineage: Bacteria; Pseudomonadati; Bacteroidota; Bacteroidia; Bacteroidales; Rikenellaceae.
GGGUAAGUCUUGUACGACCAGCUCCUGUCUACUCCUCCAGGGUCGGAAGGCAGCAAAGGUAUGAUGGUUGAGCGGUGCGAUGCAAGUAGCUUACCCUUU